This is a long non-coding RNA of Drosophila rhopaloa, 1645 nucleotides long. RefSeq lists it as uncharacterized. NCBI's taxonomy places the organism in Eukaryota, Metazoa, Arthropoda, Insecta, Diptera, Drosophilidae. The transcript is spliced from 5 exons. The record is from RefSeq and is a predicted model, not a curated record.
UUAAAGGCCUUUUUUUUGGAAAUCAUUGGCAGUAUUUAGAAGGUUACAGAUAUUUAAGCUAUAUUAAAAUGUUUUUAUUUCAAACGUUAUUUAACCAAAUAUAUCAUACAUAUUUAAAAUGUUUUUUCAACUAAAAAUAAUAUUAACAUUAUUUGGUGCUUCCAAGGGUAUUACAGGGUAACUAAAAAGUCGAAGACCGUAUAUUUUCGCUCCACUUCCUCUUCCCACAUUACAAUUCGGCAUGCUCCACUAAAUCGGCAAACGCGUUGUGGGAAUCGAUGACUCCACGAUGCGUUUAAAAUGCAUUACAAAGCACAAAGUUGUCAUAAAAAUUAAAUUAAAUAAAAGCCGAAAACAAGAAAACGUAUAAUAAAGCGACGAGAGGAGAAAAAGAUCAACUGACUUAAGCCAAUUAAACGAUUAGGGCAUUAUAGGUUACAAAUACGGCAGCAGUAAAGCACAAGCCGCUCACAAAUGGCAGAAAGACUUAAAAGUUAACAGCGGCCCUUCGGCUGCCCUCCGUCGACUUGAUUUAUGGGGUUCGAGCCUCGGUGGUGCAUCUUCUUUCUUUCCGCUGAAGUUUACGUCACAGGCGACACUAGACCCCAUCCCCUGGCAAAUGAUUUCAUCAUUUGAAGCUGCAGCUACGCAUUGCGAGAUCUUGGCUAUAUAAAUGUUAAUGUAAAUACCCGGCAUAAUGACAAUGAGAUGGAUGAAUGGUCAGAUGCCAAUCGCUUACUCUUUGUUCUAAUGACCAUUUUCUGCUUCUGGGCUCACAGUCUUAACUUGUGACCUAAUCAAGCAUGAUAAUCUUCUAUAGGAAUUGGAAAAAAGCAACCCAAUUAACUUUUGUUAGUUUUUUUGUACUUAUAGCGUUACCUAGUAAGAAAACCAUCAUGUAAGAACCAUUUUCACGGAGCAUUUCAUUGUCUACGAGCCAUUUUAAACUGUGGACAAUCAAAUUUACACAUUGCUCAACAUGAAUACAAAUUUUACACCACCAAAUUAUUCAAAAAGUGGAGCCCUUCAUCUUUCUUCGAGUGGCUCAUGAAUAGUGUGGUAUAGUUUGGCUAAUGUGCCAGACAAGUAGCAACCAGCAAUUGUCUGUGAAAAUCCAAAGCCAAGUCAACACGAGAAUUGCUGAAAAGAAAAUCAACAGCAGUGCCAACAAAAAGCAAGACAACCACUUUAAGACGACCCAGCGAACGAGCAGACGGCAUUAAAAGUGGAGAAUAAAUAGGAAGUCGAGAUAGGAACUUGGGCAACGCCAGACAAUGAUGAUGAACUACUGGUGUGGUGUGUGUGGCCCACUGAACUGGCCAAGUUAAUUGGAAAAUAAAACUUUCAAUUUCAUGGCGAAAUGCUAAUUUCUAGCCAAAGAAAAGUCAACUGGAAAAGCGGCAAGUCCAAUUGGCGUUUCCUUUGCCGGGGGUGAAGCAAAAGAAACACAGCAAAACUAACUGAAAAAUCACGGAAAUAGCAAAAAGAAGCAGAAACAUGGAAGAAAAAUCUUUCAUUACAAAGUAAUACCCUAACUUUAGUAAUAUUGUUCUUUAUUCACAUGUUAAAAUAUUUUAUUUUCACACUUAUUAGCAAAACUGUCUGACUAAAAACACAUUUAAAUAAAUGUUUUUAGAAAUUCUAA